RNAcentral lists this long non-coding RNA (363 nucleotides) under Nicotiana benthamiana. RNAcentral describes it as "long non-coding RNA (NBEN_LNC033550)". The record is from RNAcentral. Lineage: Eukaryota; Viridiplantae; Streptophyta; Magnoliopsida; Solanales; Solanaceae.
CCACUAGUGAGGUCCGGAGAGAGUAGAGUAUACGGAGACCUUACCCCUACCCCGAAAAGGGCAGAUAGGCUGAAUCUAGGAGACUCUAGGCUCAACAGGAAAAGCAAUAAUAUCAUAAAAGAAACAAGAGAAAAGACAUGUAAUAAUAAAGGAUACCAUAAAGAAAAUAACCACAACAAAUAAGUGAAAGGACAAUAACACAAAACUUUACAAAACACCAAUGUAAGUACAACAAAGACCGCUAACAAACCUAAUGAAACUCUAACAGCCUACUCGAUACAAGGAGGGAAGAAAUCUCGACUACCCCCUAUCCUACCACCCUAAUGCUCGGGCUCCACAUGUUCUUAUCAAGAGACAUGUCCU